Molecule: ribosomal RNA, 301 nt
Filed under: uncultured bacterium
Lineage: Bacteria
Description: partial 16S ribosomal RNA
Rfam family: Bacterial small subunit ribosomal RNA
Source: RNAcentral
CAGCAGCCGCGGGAACACAGAGGGUGCAAGCGUUAAUCGGAUUUACUGGGCGUAAAGCGUGCGUAGGUGGCUGUUUAAGUCGGAUGUGAAAGCCCUGGGCUUAACCUGGGAACUGCAUUCGAUACUGGAUAGCUAGAGAUCGGUAGAGAGCAGCGGAAUUCCGGGUGUAGCGGUGAAAUGCGUAGAUAUCCGGAGGAACACCGAUGGCGAAGGCAACUGCCUGGGCCUGAUCUGACACUGAGGCACGAAAGCGUGGGUAGCAAACAGGAUUAGAUACCCGCGUAGUCCCUGUCUCUUAUAC